This 552-nucleotide ribosomal RNA is filed under the name uncultured bacterium. Its description in RNAcentral is "bacterial SSU rRNA". It matches the Rfam family "Bacterial small subunit ribosomal RNA", at positions 358 to 917 of the family's 1533-position model. The record is from RNAcentral.
GGGAUCUUGCGCAUGGGCGAAGCCUGNGCAGCAACGCCGCGUGGGGGAUGAAGCUUCUCGGAGUGUAAACCCCUUUCGACCCGGACGAAUGCCCGCAAGGGCUUGACGGUACGGGUAUAAGAAGCCCCGGCUAACUACGUGCCAGCAGCCGCGGUAAAACGUAGGGGGCCAGCGUUGCUCGGAAUUACNUGGGCGUAAAGGGUCCGUAGGCGGUGUGGCAAGUCGGUAGUGAAACCUCUGGGCUUAACCCAGAGACUGCUGCCGAAACUGCUGUGCUAGAGUGCGAGAGAGGCGAGUGGAAUUACGGGUGUAGCCGGUGAAAUGCGUAGAUAUCCGUAGGAACAUCCGAGGCGAAAGCGGCUCGCUGGAUCGCAACUGACGCUGAGGGACGAAAGCUAGGGGAGCAAACAGGAUUAGAUACCCUGGUAGUCCUAGCCCUAAACCAUCAGGACUUGGGGUUUGCCCUGUACGGGGCAAGUCCCGUAGCUAACGCGUUAAGUCCUGCGCCUGGGGAGUACGGUCGCAAGGCUGAAACUCAAAAAAAUUGACGGA